Molecule: long non-coding RNA, 375 nt
Organism: Notothenia coriiceps (black rockcod)
Lineage: Eukaryota; Metazoa; Chordata; Actinopteri; Perciformes; Nototheniidae
Exons: 2
Source: RefSeq, a predicted model, not a curated record
CCGCUCAAGAAGGAGUGCAUGCGGAGUUUAGAGGAUUCAACGAGUGCUUGCACAAGAAGAGACAAGCAAGAGGCUGUACGCCAUCCGUCAGCAGCGUGAUAAGAUGAUUAAGGAGGGGACGUACACCCCGCCGCCCUGCCACUCAGGACAGGCUAACCCGUCUCCAUGAGGCAGCAGCUCUGCACAGGUCUUCCUGUUCUCAUCAGCUAGCCAUAUUUCCUGUUCCCUGUACAAUUUAGCUAAUAAAUGUUAUUAUUAAAUAUCUAACCAUUCACGUCACGUCUUCUUUUUUCACUUCAUGCUGUGUGUGAAGAAGAAAAGAUUGAAAACAUCUCAGUACUUUUAAUAACUUAUAAUAAAAAUACAAAAACGUAA